Molecule: long non-coding RNA, 2379 nt
Organism: Homo sapiens (human)
Lineage: Eukaryota; Metazoa; Chordata; Mammalia; Primates; Hominidae
Gene: ADAM3A
Product: ADAM metallopeptidase domain 3A (pseudogene)
Source: Ensembl
ACAACGGCCAUCCCUGUGGCUGGGCCGCCGGCUACGCAAUGCUGUCUCUCUUGCUGAUCCUCUCAGGCCUGGGCCGGCUGACCUCCGCGGGCCCACGCCACUUAUUCCAUCAAAAUUGAGGGGAAACCAUACACUUCCUGCUUGAAAAACAGUCAUUUUUACACCCACAUUUCCUGGUGUAUUUAUACAACAAAUCAGGAACAUUGUAUGCAGAUUCUUCAUUUUCAAAGGGUCAUUGCUUUUACCAAGGAUAUGCUGCAGACAUUCCAAAAUCAGUUGUGGCACUACGCACCUGUUCUGGACUCAGAGGAUUACUGCAGUUAGAUAAUAUCAGUUAUGGUAUUGAACCAUUGGAAUCUUCACCUACAUAUAAGCAUGUAGUUUAUCGAAUUAAAAAUGAUGCUAUUGGUCAUUCCUCCUUUCAAGAAAAUUAUCCUGUGGCUCAAUAUAUAGAUCAGUCCUACAGGAUUCUUGUCAAAUCAGACAUAAAUUCAGGUGCCAUGCUAUCGAAAAGAACUCUGAAAAUACAAAUCAUUAUGGAUAAAGCCAUGUAUGCUUAUAUGGGCUCCACGGUGGCAGUUGCAGUUGAGAAAGUUUUCCAAAUCUUUGGUCUUAUCAACACUAUGUUUUCCCAGCUUAAUAUGACAGUUAUGCUGUCUUCCUUGGAGAUCUGGUCAGAUCAAAAUAAGAUUUCAACAAGUGGUCAUGCUGAUGAAAUACUACAGCGAUUUUUGCCUUGGAAACAAAAAUUUUUGUUUCAAAGGUCUCAUGAUAUGACAUACUUAUUAAUUUAUAGGAACCAUUCUACUUAUGUGGGAGCAACAUAUCACGGAAUGGCAUGCGAUCCAAAGUUUGCAACAGGAAUUGCUCUGUAUCCAAAGAAAAUCACUGCAGAGGCCUUUUCAGUUGUUAUGGCACAGUUGCUUGGAAUUAAUCUGGGAUUGACAUAUGAUGAUAUCUACAAUUGUUACUGUCCAGGAACUACAUGCAUAAUGAAUCCUGAUGCGAUAUGAUCCCAUGGUAUGAAGUUUUUUAGCAGUUGCAGCAUGGAUGGAUUUAAACGGAUAGUUCUGCAGCCUGAACUUAAAUGUUUUCAGGAUAAAACAGUUUCAAAAAUGACUUACCGAAAAUCUUCAACUUGUGGCAAUGGAAUUUUGGAACCUACAGAGCAGUGUGAUUGUGGCUAUAAAGAGAGACAGGAUUUCACCAUGUUGGCCAGGCUAGUCUCAAACUUCGGACCUCAGGUUAUCCACCUGCCUCAGCCUCUCAAGGUGCUGGGAUUACAAACGCAUGCACUCAUAAAAAAUGCUGUAAUCCUGCAGAUUGUACUCUAGUUAGAUCUGCAGAAUGUGGCACUGGAUCAUGCUGUAACAAUAAAACUUGUACGAUCCACGAAAGAGGCCAUGUCUGCAGAAAAAGUGUAGAUAUGUGUGAUUUUCCAGAAUAUUGCAAUGGAACAUCUGAGUUUUGUGUACCUGAUGUGAAAGCUGCUGAUUUAGAAUACUGCAGUAAUAAGACUAGCUAUUGCUUUAAAGGAGUAUGCAGAGAAAGGGAUAGACAGUGUUCACAGUUAUUUGGAAAAUUUGCUAAGUCUGCUAAUCUUCUGUGUACAGAAGAAGUGAAUUUUCAAAAUGACAAAUUUGGAAACUGUGGUUCCCGUUGUGAUUUUUUUGAUAUCCUUUGUGGAAAGAUUGUUUGUCACUGGAUACAUUCAGAACUAGUACCAAUGACAGACUUAGACAUACAAUAUACUUACCUUAGAGGUCACGUAUGUUUGUCCGCACAUGCAAGAAAUGGUUCAAAACAAUCGGAGACCUAUACAGAAGAUAUAACUGCAUGUGGCCAACACAAGGUAUGUCACUCCCGAGAAUGCAGAAAUUUUAGUGAACUAAAUAUAACAAAAUAUACUACAAAUUGUGGACAGAAUGGGAUUUGCAAUGAACAUUUCCAUUGUCAAUGUGAUCCUGGUUAUGCUCCUCCAGAUUGUGAGCCAGCAAUGUCAUCACCAGGAGGAAGUAUCAAUGAUGGAUUUUGGCUUACAGUAGAAAAAAGUGUACCCUUGCUUCCAAAACGACGUGCUGCUCCUAAAAACAAUGGUCUUUUGAUCAGUUUCUACAUUUUUUCACCUUUGCUCAUUUUAAUUGCUAUUGUUAGUCUUAAAUGGAAUAAAAUGAAGAGAUUUCGGAGCAAAGUGGGAACAGUAAGCAGCAGAUCUAUCUCAGAAGACAGCGGUAGUAACAGCAGCCAGUCACAGAGUUAAAGUAACCAAGUGAUAAAAUCAAAGCCAUCGGAUGAAGAAAGGAUAUUACCAAGAAACUCACCAUUAACUUAAAACUUUCAACUUCACAGAAAAAAAUAAAUCAUAUGACUAAAAGCAUA